Molecule: ribosomal RNA, 2902 nt
Filed under: Escherichia coli
Lineage: Bacteria; Pseudomonadati; Pseudomonadota; Gammaproteobacteria; Enterobacterales; Enterobacteriaceae
Description: bacterial LSU rRNA
Rfam family: Bacterial large subunit ribosomal RNA
Source: RNAcentral
UUAAGCGACUAAGCGUACACGGUGGAUGCCCUGGCAGUCAGAGGCGAUGAAGGACGUGCUAAUCUGCGAUAAGCGUCGGUAAGGUGAUAUGAACCGUUAUAACCGGCGAUUUCCGAAUGGGGAAACCCAGUGUGAUUCGUCACACUAUCAUUAACUGAAUCCAUAGGUUAAUGAGGCGAACCGGGGGAACUGAAACAUCUAAGUACCCCGAGGAAAAGAAAUCAACCGAGAUUCCCCCAGUAGCGGCGAGCGAACGGGGAGCAGCCCAGAGCCUGAAUCAGUGUGUGUGUUAGUGGAAGCGUCUGGAAAGGCGCGCGAUACAGGGUGACAGCCCCGUACACAAAAAUGCACAUACUGUGAGCUCGAUGAGUAGGGCGGGACACGUGGUAUCCUGUCUGAAUAUGGGGGGACCAUCCUCCAAGGCUAAAUACUCCUGACUGACCGAUAGUGAACCAGUACCGUGAGGGAAAGGCGAAAAGAACCCCGGCGAGGGGAGUGAAAAAGAACCUGAAACCGUGUACGUACAAGCAGUGGGAGCACGCUUAGGCGUGUGACUGCGUACCUUUUGUAUAAUGGGUCAGCGACUUAUAUUCUGUAGCAAGGUUAACCGAAUAGGGGAGCCGAAGGGAAACCGAGUCUUAACUGGGCGUUAAGUUGCAGGGUAUAGACCCGAAACCCGGUGAUCUAGCCAUGGGCAGGUUGAAGGUUGGGUAACACUAACUGGAGGACCGAACCGACUAAUGUUGAAAAAUUAGCGGAUGACUUGUGGCUGGGGGUGAAAGGCCAAUCAAACCGGGAGAUAGCUGGUUCUCCCCGAAAGCUAUUUAGGUAGCGCCUCGUGAAUUCAUCUCCGGGGGUAGAGCACUGUUUCGGCAAGGGGGUCAUCCCGACUUACCAACCCGAUGCAAACUGCGAAUACCGGAGAAUGUUAUCACGGGAGACACACGGCGGGUGCUAACGUCCGUCGUGAAGAGGGAAACAACCCAGACCGCCAGCUAAGGUCCCAAAGUCAUGGUUAAGUGGGAAACGAUGUGGGAAGGCCCAGACAGCCAGGAUGUUGGCUUAGAAGCAGCCAUCAUUUAAAGAAAGCGUAAUAGCUCACUGGUCGAGUCGGCCUGCGCGGAAGAUGUAACGGGGCUAAACCAUGCACCGAAGCUGCGGCAGCGACGCUUAUGCGUUGUUGGGUAGGGGAGCGUUCUGUAAGCCUGUGAAGGUGUGCUGUGAGGCAUGCUGGAGGUAUCAGAAGUGCGAAUGCUGACAUAAGUAACGAUAAAGCGGGUGAAAAGCCCGCUCGCCGGAAGACCAAGGGUUCCUGUCCAACGUUAAUCGGGGCAGGGUGAGUCGACCCCUAAGGCGAGGCCGAAAGGCGUAGUCGAUGGGAAACAGGUUAAUAUUCCUGUACUUGGUGUUACUGCGAAGGGGGGACGGAGAAGGCUAUGUUGGCCGGGCGACGGUUGUCCCGGUUUAAGCGUGUAGGCUGGUUUUCCAGGCAAAUCCGGAAAAUCAAGGCUGAGGCGUGAUGACGAGGCACUACGGUGCUGAAGCAACAAAUGCCCUGCUUCCAGGAAAAGCCUCUAAGCAUCAGGUAACAUCAAAUCGUACCCCAAACCGACACAGGUGGUCAGGUAGAGAAUACCAAGGCGCUUGAGAGAACUCGGGUGAAGGAACUAGGCAAAAUGGUGCCGUAACUUCGGGAGAAGGCACGCUGAUAUGUAGGUGAAGUCCCUCGCGGAUGGAGCUGAAAUCAGUCGAAGAUACCAGCUGGCUGCAACUGUUUAUUAAAAACACAGCACUGUGCAAACACGAAAGUGGACGUAUACGGUGUGACGCCUGCCCGGUGCCGGAAGGUUAAUUGAUGGGGUCAGCGCAAGCGAAGCUCUUGAUCGAAGCCCCGGUAAACGGCGGCCGUAACUAUAACGGUCCUAAGGUAGCGAAAUUCCUUGUCGGGUAAGUUCCGACCUGCACGAAUGGCGUAAUGAUGGCCAGGCUGUCUCCACCCGAGACUCAGUGAAAUUGAACUCGCUGUGAAGAUGCAGUGUACCCGCGGCAAGACGGAAAGACCCCGUGAACCUUUACUAUAGCUUGACACUGAACAUUGAGCCUUGAUGUGUAGGAUAGGUGGGAGGCUUAGAAGUGUGGACGCCAGUCUGCAUGGAGCCGACCUUGAAAUACCACCCUUUAAUGUUUGAUGUUCUAACGUUGACCCGUAAUCCGGGUUGCGGACAGUGUCUGGUGGGUAGUUUGACUGGGGCGGUCUCCUCCUAAAGAGUAACGGAGGAGCACGAAGGUUGGCUAAUCCUGGUCGGACAUCAGGAGGUUAGUGCAAUGGCAUAAGCCAGCUUGACUGCGAGCGUGACGGCGCGAGCAGGUGCGAAAGCAGGUCAUAGUGAUCCGGUGGUUCUGAAUGGAAGGGCCAUCGCUCAACGGAUAAAAGGUACUCCGGGGAUAACAGGCUGAUACCGCCCAAGAGUUCAUAUCGACGGCGGUGUUUGGCACCUCGAUGUCGGCUCAUCACAUCCUGGGGCUGAAGUAGGUCCCAAGGGUAUGGCUGUUCGCCAUUUAAAGUGGUACGCGAGCUGGGUUUAGAACGUCGUGAGACAGUUCGGUCCCUAUCUGCCGUGGGCGCUGGAGAACUGAGGGGGGCUGCUCCUAGUACGAGAGGACCGGAGUGGACGCAUCACUGGUGUUCGGGUUGUCAUGCCAAUGGCACUGCCCGGUAGCUAAAUGCGGAAGAGAUAAGUGCUGAAAGCAUCUAAGCACGAAACUUGCCCCGAGAUGAGUUCUCCCUGACUCCUUGAGAGUCCUGAAGGAACGUUGAAGACGACGACGUUGAUAGGCCGGGUGUGUAAGCGCAGCGAUGCGUUGAGCUAACCGGUACUAAUGAACCGUGAGGCUUAACCUU